Molecule: ribosomal RNA, 442 nt
Filed under: uncultured bacterium
Lineage: Bacteria
Description: partial 16S ribosomal RNA
Rfam family: Bacterial small subunit ribosomal RNA
Source: RNAcentral
CCUACGGGAGGCAGCAGUGGGGAAUAUUGGUCAAUGGGCGAAAGCCUGACCCAGCCACGCCGCGUGAAGGAAGAAGGCUUUCGGGUUGUAAACUUCUUUUGACAGGGAAGAGCAGAAGACGGUACCUGUCGAAUAAGCCACGGCUAACUACGUGCCAGCAGCCGCGGUAAUACGUAGGUGGCAAGCGUUUUCCGGGUUUACUGGGGGUAAAGGGCGUGUAGCGGGGCUUAGAAGGCAGAUGGGAAAUUCGGGGGCUUAAACCCCGAACUGCAUUUGAAACUGUUGGUCUUGAGUAUCGGAGAGGCAGGCGGAAUUCCUAGUGUAGCGGUGAAAUGCGUAGAUAUUAGGAGGAACACCAGUGGCGAAGGCAGCCUGCUGGACGACAACUGACGGUGAGGCGCGAAAGCGUGGGGAGCGAACAGGAUUAGAUACCCUUGUAGUC